Molecule: ribosomal RNA, 503 nt
Filed under: Citrobacter freundii
Lineage: Bacteria; Pseudomonadati; Pseudomonadota; Gammaproteobacteria; Enterobacterales; Enterobacteriaceae
Description: bacterial SSU rRNA
Rfam family: Bacterial small subunit ribosomal RNA
Source: RNAcentral
AAAGACGCUGGCGGCAGGCCUACACAUGCAAGUCGAACGGUAGCACAGAGGAGCUUGCUCCUUGGGUGACGAGUGGCGGACGGGUGAGUAAUGUCUGGGAAACUGCCCGAUGGAGGGGGAUAACUACUGGAAACGGUAGCUAAUACCGCAUAACGUCGCAAGACCAAAGAGGGGGACCUUCGGGCCUCUUGCCAUCGGAUGUGCCCAGAUGGGAUUAGCUAGUAGGUGGGGUAACGGCUCACCUAGGCGACGAUCCCUAGCUGGUCUGAGAGGAUGACCAGCCACACUGGAACUGAGACACGGUCCAGACUCCUACGGGAGGCAGCAGUGGGGAAUAUUGCACAAUGGGCGCAAGCCUGAUGCAGCCAUGCCGCGUGUAUGAAGAAGGCCUUCGGGUUGUAAAGUACUUUCAGCGAGGAGGAAGGCGUUGUGGUUAAUAACCGCAGCGAUUGACGUUACUCGCAGAAGAAGCACCGGCUAACUCCGUGCCAGCCGCCGCGGUA